GGAUUAGAUACCCUGGUAGUCCACGCCGUAAACGUUGGGCACUAGGUGUGGGUCUCAACCAACGAGAUCCGUGCCGCAGCUAACGCAUUAAGUGCCCCGCCUGGGGAGUACGGCCGCAAGGCUAAAACUCAAAGGAAUUGACGGGGGCCCGCACAAGCGGCGGAGCAUGUUGCUUAAUUCGAGGCAACGCGAAGAACCUUACCUGGGUUUGACAUUCUGGGAAAAGCCGUAGAGAUACGGUGUCCGAAAGGGUCCAGAACAGGUGGUGCAUGGCUGUCGUCAGCUCGUGCCG
RNAcentral lists this ribosomal RNA (292 nucleotides) under uncultured bacterium. RNAcentral describes it as "partial 16S ribosomal RNA". It matches the Rfam family "Bacterial small subunit ribosomal RNA", at positions 775 to 1067 of the family's 1533-position model. The record is from RNAcentral.